This 429-nucleotide ribosomal RNA is filed under the name Actinomycetes bacterium. RNAcentral's name for it is "Actinobacteria bacterium partial 16S ribosomal RNA". It matches the Rfam family "Bacterial small subunit ribosomal RNA", at positions 355 to 776 of the family's 1533-position model. The record is from RNAcentral. Lineage: Bacteria; Bacillati; Actinomycetota; Actinomycetes.
UAGGGAAUCUUCCGCAAUGGGCGAAAGCCUGCCGGAGCAACGCCGCGUGAGUGAUGAAGGUCUUCGGAUCGUAAAACUUUGUUAUUAGGGAAGAACAAAUGUGUAAGUAACUAUGCACGCUUCGACGGUACCUAAUCAGAAAGCCACGGCUAACUACGUGCCAGCAGCCGCGGUAAUACGUAGGUGGCAAGCGUUAUCCGGAAUUAUUGGGCGUAAAGCGCGCGUAGGCGGUUUUUUAAGUCUGGUGUGAAAGCCCACGGCUAAACCGUGGAGGGUCAUUAGAAGCUUGUAAGCUUGAGUGCAGAAGGGGAAAGUGGAAAUCCAUUUGUCGCGGUGAAAUGCGCAGAGUUAUGGAUGAACACCAGUGGCGAAGGCGACUUUCAGUUCUGUAACUGACUCUAAUGUGCGAAAGCGUGGGGCUCAAACAGG